This 844-nucleotide ribosomal RNA is filed under the name Leucoagaricus lacrymans. RNAcentral describes it as "partial large subunit ribosomal RNA". It matches the Rfam family "Eukaryotic large subunit ribosomal RNA", at positions 74 to 906 of the family's 3401-position model. The record is from RNAcentral. Lineage: Eukaryota; Fungi; Basidiomycota; Agaricomycetes; Agaricales; Agaricaceae.
AUUCCCCUAGUAACUGCGAGUGAAGCGGGAAAAGCUCAAAUUUUAAAUCUGGCGGUCUCAGGCCGUCCGAGUUGUAAUCUAGAGAAGUGAUGCCCGCGCUGGACCGUGUACAAGUCUCCUGGGAUGGAGCGUCAUAGAGGGUGAGAAUCCCGUCUCUGACACGGACUACCAGGGCUUUGUGGUACGCUCUCAAAGAGUCGAGUUGUUUGGGAAUGCAGCUCAAAAUGGGUGGUAAAUUCCAUCUAAAGCUAAAUAUUGGCGAGAGACCGAUAGCGAACAAGUACCGUGAGGGAAAGAUGAAAAGAACUUUGGAAAGAGAGUUAAACAGUACGUGAAAUUGCUGAAAGGGAAACGCUUGAAGUCAGUCGCGUUGGCCGGGAAUCAGCCUCGCUUUUGCGUGGUGUACUUUCCGGUUGACGGGUCAGCAUCAAUUUUGAUCGCUGGAAAAAGGCUUGGGGAAUGUGGCAGCUUCUGCUGUGUUAUAGCCCCAUGUCACAUACGGCGAUUGGGAUUGAGGAACUCAGCACGCCGAAAGGCCGGGUUUCGACCACGUUCGUGCUUAGGAUGCUGGCAUAAUGGCUUUAAGCGACCCGUCUUGAAACACGGACCAAGGAGUCUAACAUGCCUGCGAGUGUUUGGGUGGAAAACCCGAGCGCGUAAUGAAAGUGAAAGUUGAGAUCCCUGUCGUGGGGAGCAUCGACGCCCGGACCAGAACUUUUGGGACGGAUCCGCGGUAGAGCAUGUAUGUUGGGACCCGAAAGAUGGUGAACUAUGCCUGAUAGGGUGAAGCCAGAGGAAACUCUGGUGGAGGCUCGUAGCGAUUCUGACGUGCAAAUCGAUCGUC